This 350-nucleotide ribosomal RNA is filed under the name uncultured bacterium. RNAcentral's name for it is "bacterial SSU rRNA". It matches the Rfam family "Bacterial small subunit ribosomal RNA", at positions 30 to 392 of the family's 1533-position model. The record is from RNAcentral.
AUUGAACGCUGGCGGCAGGCCUAACACAUGCAAGUCGAGCGGGGUUUUCGGACCUAGCGGCGGACGGGUGAGUAAUGCGUAGGAAGCUACCCGAUAGAGGGGGAUACCAGUUGGAAACGACUGUUAAUACCGCAUAAUGUCUACGGACCAAAGUGUGGGACCUUCGGGCCACAUGCUAUCGGAUGCGCCUACGUGGGAUUAGCUAGUUGGUGGGGUAAUGGCUCACCAAGGCGACGAUCCCUAGCUGGUUUGAGAGGAUGAUCAGCCACACUGGAACUGAGACACGGUCCAGACUCCUACGGGAGGCAGCAGUGGGGAAUAUUGGACAAUGGGCGCAAGCCUGAUCCAAC